This 68-nucleotide transfer RNA is filed under the name Dallia pectoralis (Alaska blackfish). Its description in RNAcentral is "tRNA-Phe". The record is from RNAcentral. Lineage: Eukaryota; Metazoa; Chordata; Actinopteri; Esociformes; Umbridae. RNAcentral also lists the same sequence under 1 other name.
GCUCACGUAUUCUACUUAAGAUAUAACACUGAAGAUGUUAAGACGGCCCCUAAAAAGGCCCGUGGACA